Molecule: ribosomal RNA, 617 nt
Filed under: uncultured fungus
Lineage: Eukaryota; Fungi
Description: eukaryotic LSU rRNA
Rfam family: 5.8S ribosomal RNA (bases 184-338)
Source: RNAcentral
UUGUUGCUGGCCCCUGCAUGGGGGCAUGUGCACACUCUGUUUACACAUCCACUCACACCUGUGCACCCUCUGUAGUUCUAUGUCCUGGGGGCCUUGUCCUCCUGCCGUGGUUCUACGUCUUUACACACACACAUUGAAAUGAAGUCUAAUGGAAUGUAUGUCGCGUUUAACGCAAUGAAAUACAACUUUCAGCAACGGAUCUCUUGGCUCUCGCAUCGAUGAAGAACGCAGCGAAAUGCGAUAAGUAAUGUGAAUUGCAGAAUUCAGUGAAUCAUCGAAUCUUUGAACGCACCUUGCGCCCUUUGGCUAUUCCGAAGGGCAUGCCUGUUUGAGUAUCAUGAACACCUCAACUCUCAUGGCUCGCCGUGAUGAGCUUGGACUUUGGGGGUCUUGCUGGCCUGUGGUCGGCUCCUCUCAAAUGAAUUAGCCUGCCGGUGUUUGGUGGGAUCACAGGUGUGAUAACUAUCUACGCUUGUGGUUUUCCACCAGGUAACCCUCAGCAAUGGAGGUUCACUGGAGCUUAUAAACGUCUCUCCUCAGCGAGGACAGGUUUUGACCAUUUGAUCUCAAAUCAGGUAGGACUACCCGCUGAACUUAAGCAUAUCAAUAAGCGGAGG